This 164-nucleotide ribosomal RNA is filed under the name Camellia piquetiana. RNAcentral's name for it is "5.8S ribosomal RNA". It matches the Rfam family "5.8S ribosomal RNA". Rfam says of the family: 5.8S ribosomal RNA (5.8S rRNA) is a component of the large subunit of the eukaryotic ribosome. It is transcribed by RNA polymerase I as part of the 45S precursor that also contains 18S and 28S rRNA. Lineage: Eukaryota; Viridiplantae; Streptophyta; Magnoliopsida; Ericales; Theaceae. The record is from RNAcentral.
UAAACGACUCUCGGCAACGGAUAUCUCGGCUCUCGCAUCGAUGAAGAACGUAGCGAAAUGCGAUACUUGGUGUGAAUUGCAGAAUCCAGCGAACCAUCGAGUCUUUGAACGCAAGUUGCGCCCGAAGCCAUUAGGUUGAGGGCACGUCUGCCUGGGCGUCUCGC